AGAGUUUGAUCCUGGCUCAGGACGAACGCUGGCGGCGUGCUUCAUACAUGCAAGUCGAACGAGAAGCAAGAGCUUGCUCUUGUGGAAAGUGGCGGACGGGUGAGUAACAUGUAGGAAAUCUGCCCUUUAGCGGGGGACAACAGUUGGAAACGACUGCUAAUACCCCAUAUGAGCUAGCCUGAAAUGGUUAUCUUGAAAACUCCGGUGCUAAAGGAUGAGCCUGCAGCUGAUUAGCUAGUUGGCGGGGUAAAUGCCCACCAAGGCUAUGAUCAGUAGCUGGUUUGAGAGGAUGAUCAGCCACAAUGGGACUGAGACACGGCCCAUACUCCUACGGGAGGCAGCAGUAGGGAAUUUUGCGCAAUGGGGGAAACCCUGACGCAGCAACGCCGCGUGACCGAUGACGCCCUUCGGGGUGUAAAGGUCUGUCAGUAGGGACGAAUUUUGACGGUACCUACAGAGGAAGCACCGGCUAACUCCGUGCCAGCAGCCGCGGUAAUACGGAGGGUGCAAGCGUUGUCCGGAAUCAUUGGGCGUAAAGAGUUCGUAGGCGGCAUGUCAAGUCUGGUGUUAAAUCCUGAGGCUCAACUUCAGUUCAGCACUGGAUACUGGCAAGCUAGAAUGCGGUAGAGGUAAAGGGAAUUCCUGGUGUAGCGGUGAAAUGCGUAGAUAUCAGGAAGAACACCGGUGGCGUAAGCGCUUUACUGGGCCGUUAUUGACGCUGAGGAACGAAAGCCGGGGGAGCGAAUGGGAUUAGAUACCCCAGUAGUCCCGGCCGUAAACGAUGGAUACUAGGUGUUGUGGGUAUCGACCCCUACAGUGCCGUAGCUAACGCGA
Molecule: ribosomal RNA, 834 nt
Filed under: human gut metagenome
Description: bacterial SSU rRNA
Rfam family: Bacterial small subunit ribosomal RNA
Source: RNAcentral